Molecule: ribosomal RNA, 453 nt
Filed under: uncultured bacterium
Lineage: Bacteria
Description: bacterial SSU rRNA
Rfam family: Bacterial small subunit ribosomal RNA
Source: RNAcentral
AUUGAACGCUGGCGGCAUGCCUUACACAUGCAAGUCGAACGGCAGCGCGGGGGCAACCCUGGUGGCGAGUGGCGAACGGGUGAGUAACAUAUCGGAACAUACCCUAGAGUGGGGGAUAACGUAGCGAAAGUUACGCUAAUACCGCAUACGAUCUAAGGAUGAAAGUGGGGGAUCUUCGGACCUCAUGCUCAUGGAGUGGCCGAUAUCUGAUUAGCUAGUUGGUGAGGUAAAGGCUCACCAAGGCGACGAUCAGUAGCUGGUUUGAGAGAACGACCAGCCACACUGGAACUGAGACACGGUCCAGACUCCUACGGGAGGCAGCAGUGGGGAAUAUUGGACAAAUGGGCGAAAGCCUGAUCCAGCCAUGCCGCGUGAGUGAUGAAGGCCCUAGGGUUGUAAAGCUCUUUUGUGCGGGAAGAUAAUGAGGUACCGCAAGAACAAGCCCCGGCUAAC